GAUAAACCCCUAAUUAGUGUUGGCUUGUUUUUUUGGUCGAAAGAGGUUGUGUUGAGAGCGAGGCGAGACACGUAAAAUCAGAUUUCUCGUUUGAUUAAUGAUUUAUAAGAUCAGCUUUCUCUUUUGACCAACGAUUCAGACACAGAUAUAGCUCUACUUCACUUUUCAAUGAAAUUUCCUAGAUGCCCAAUUCGAACCAAAUGUUUGACGCAUGCCAGAAAGGAAGCCAAAGUUAUGUAUCCAAAAUGCACAGGAGAGGAUAUCUACCGGUAUGUGCAGGAUGUUUCGCGCAGGGUUAUUCAGGCAAGACUUGGUGACCAAUUACAGAGAGGACCUAAAUGGAGAUUGUUGCCUGAGGAUCAGUGAGACAAACCGUGUAGUAUCAAAAAACAAUAAACUGCAGAUGAAUAAAAAAGCCAAUUUUAUGACUUUAACUGGCCUCAAAAUCUUUCCCAGUGUAGGAGAACAAAGUGGAGAGACCACUGUUGGCAACCUUGAAGGCAAUUUGAAUGGGUUCUCCUAUUCAACCUCCAGUCCUAAUUUCCAUUUCCAUUUUUUGUACAGGAAUGUAAAGAACGCUUUCUUUCGAUAUGAAGACGAGAAUAUGCUGCCUCUUUUGCACUUCCACUUGCAUCACCCCAUCAAGGUGGGGGCUGAAAAGAGACAGAAUGUCCAAUUCCAUCUGGUGCAGACUCCUGUUGGACAUAAGAGAUAUUAUAAUGAUUCAGAUAAGAUCGUUGGCCCUAAUGGCCCUAACAAAGAUUUAAAGAACUUUGUCCACAAAGUUCAAGCUAUAUGGAGUCAAUCUACCUGUAUUCCAUUAUUGUUAUCCAUUUGCUGGUGUUGAGCUUCAUAAGAAGGAUGAAUUUCAAGGAAAUCUUCCCUCCAAGGUACCAACCAUCUUUGCCUUGAAUUUUUUUUCACUAGUUGGGCUUGUAGAUGAACCUUUCGUUGUGGUCGACCUAUGUGACAUUGAGAUUGUUAAUCUGGCGAGGCUUAAACCUGGGGUAGUAGAUAUGACUAUUGUUCUUCGGGACUUCAAACGUGAUCCAGUUCGAAUCAACUCAAUUCCCUUAGACUCGCUCAAUCUCAUAAAAGAUCGCUUUAACUUCGUGAAGGUGAAGUAUUUUGAGAAUUGUAAGGAUUUAAACUGGGAUUCCAUAGUGAAAGAGAGAGCAGAUUCCCCGGGAAAGUUCUACACGAAUAAGGGAUGGUUUUCUUAUGGCCUUGAGGAUUUAGCUACUGCAAGCUUAUACAAACACUACUAUGCACUACCCGAAGUAAACUACUAUGCACAACGUGGGGAAUUAGAGUAUGAGUGAAUCAGAGGAUGAAGGUGAAGAAGUGACACAUUGGAGAAGCGAGAGGAGCCAUGAAUCAGGUGUAUAAGAGUAGAGCAGGAGAAGUUCAAGUUUACGCAACGAACUAGUAUUUUUAAUCUAAAUCGUUGUUGCUUUUCUCAAUGAUAUAAGCAUAUUUGCAGGGGAGUGUGCCCUUCUUGAAUCUAAUUAUGUCAUUAUUAGAACAACGAUUCUAGAGGAACCGUAUAGGUUUGGAUAUAUUAUUGAAGAUAUGUUUUUGGUCUGCAGUA
This is a long non-coding RNA of Papaver somniferum (opium poppy), 1591 nucleotides long. RefSeq lists it as uncharacterized. The transcript is spliced from 2 exons. NCBI's taxonomy places the organism in Eukaryota, Viridiplantae, Streptophyta, Magnoliopsida, Ranunculales, Papaveraceae. The record is from RefSeq and is a predicted model, not a curated record.